RNAcentral lists this ribosomal RNA (253 nucleotides) under uncultured bacterium. RNAcentral describes it as "partial 16S ribosomal RNA". It matches the Rfam family "Bacterial small subunit ribosomal RNA", at positions 524 to 776 of the family's 1533-position model. The record is from RNAcentral.
UACGGAGGGUGCAAGCGUUGUCCGGAUUUAUUGGGUUUAAAGGGUGCGUAGGCGGCCCUGUAAGUCAGUGGUGAAAUACUGCAGCUUAACUGUAGCAUUGCCAUUGAUACUGUAGGGCUUGAGUACAGAUGAGGUAGGCGGAAUUGAUGGUGUAGCGGUGAAAUGCAUAGAUACCAUCAAGAACACCGAUUGCGAAGGCAGUUCACUAAGGUUGUAUUGACACUGAGGCACGAAAGCGUGGGGAUCAAACAGG